GACGAACGCUGGCGGCGUGCUUAACACAUGCAAGUCGAACGAAGUGGCGAACGGGUGAGUAACGCGUAAUCCACCUGCCCUUCAGUGGGGGACAACAGUUGGAAACGACUGCUAAUACCUCAUACUGAAGGUGGGGAUUUCGUCUGAUUAGCUAGUUGGAGGGGUAACGGCCCAAGAAGGCGAUGAUCAGUAGACUGUCUGAGAGGAUGAACGGCCACAUUUGGACUGAGAAACGGCCCAGACUCCUACGGGAGGCAGCAGGGGGGAAUCUUCCGCAAUGGACGAAAGUCUGACGGAGCAACGCCGCGGGAGGGAUGACGGCCUUUGGGUUGUAAAGCUAUGUUAAUCGGGACGCGGUACCGGAAGAGAAAGCCACGGCUAACUACGUGCCAGCAGCCGCGGUAAUUC
RNAcentral lists this ribosomal RNA (408 nucleotides) under uncultured bacterium. RNAcentral describes it as "partial 16S ribosomal RNA". It matches the Rfam family "Bacterial small subunit ribosomal RNA", at positions 28 to 526 of the family's 1533-position model. The record is from RNAcentral.